Molecule: ribosomal RNA, 253 nt
Filed under: uncultured bacterium
Lineage: Bacteria
Description: partial 16S ribosomal RNA
Rfam family: Bacterial small subunit ribosomal RNA
Source: RNAcentral
UACGUAGGGUCCGAGCGUUGUCCGGAAUUAUUGGGCGUAAAGCGCGCGUAGGCGGCUUUGCAAGCCGGAUGUGAAAUCCCCGGGCUUAACCUGGGAACUGCAUUCGGGACUGCAUUGCUAGAGUAUGGGAGAGGGAAGUGGAAUUUCAGGUGUAGCGGUGAAAUGCGUAGAUAUCUGAAGGAACAUCAGUGGCGAAAGCGACUUCCUGGACCAAUACUGACGCUCAUGUGCGAAAGCGUGGGGAGCAAACAGG